UCCUUUUGUAAAAUAUUUAAGGUCUAACCUGCCCUCUGAGUAAUCUUGAAUGGCCGCGGUAUUUUGACCGUGCUAAGGUAGCAUAAUCAUUAGUUUUUUAAUUGAAAGCUGGAAUGAAAGGUUGAAUGAAAAAAUUACUGUCUCUAUUUAAAUUUUAUAGAAUUUUAUUUUUAAGUUAAAAAGCUUAAAUUUAUUUGAAAGACGAGAAGACCCUAUAGAGUUUAAUAAAUAAAUAAAUUUAAAAAUUUAGAAUUUAAUAAUAAAUUUAUUUAUUUUUUUAAUUGGGGUGAUUUAAAAAUUUAAUUAACUUUUUUUAUGUUAAUAAUAUAAAUAUAUAAAUUUAUGAUCCAAUAUUUUUGAUUAUAAGAAAAAAUUACCUUAGGGAUAACAGCGUAAUUUUAUUAGAGAGUUCAAAUCGAUAAUA
RNAcentral lists this ribosomal RNA (424 nucleotides) under Laboissierea sculpturata. RNAcentral's name for it is "partial 16S ribosomal RNA". The record is from RNAcentral. Lineage: Eukaryota; Metazoa; Arthropoda; Insecta; Coleoptera; Chrysomelidae.